GACGAACGCUGGCGGCGUGCUUAACACAUGCAAGUCGAACGGAAAGGCCCUGCUUGCAGGGUACUCGAGUGGCGAACGGGUGAGUAACACGUGGGUGAUCUGCCCUGCACUUCGGGAUAAGCCUGGGAAACUGGGUCUAAUACCGGAUAGGAGCCAUUUUUAGUGUGAUGGUUGGAAAGUUUUUUCGGUGUAGGAUGAGCUCGCGGCCUAUCAGCUUGUUGGUGGGGUAAUGGCCUACCAAGGCGGCGACGGGUAGCCGGCCUGAGAGGGUGGACGGCCACAUUGGGACUGAGAUACGGCCCAGACUCCGAAGGGAGGCAGCAGUGGGGAAUAUUGCACAAUGGGCGCAAGACUGAUGCAGCGACGCCGCGUGGGGGAUGACGGCCUUCGGGUUGUAAAAUCCUUUCGCUAGGGACGAAGCUUUUUGUGAGGGUACCUAGAGAAGAAGCACCGGCUAACUACGUG
This 465-nucleotide ribosomal RNA is filed under the name uncultured bacterium. RNAcentral describes it as "partial 16S ribosomal RNA". It matches the Rfam family "Bacterial small subunit ribosomal RNA", at positions 28 to 507 of the family's 1533-position model. The record is from RNAcentral.